This is a non-coding RNA of Mus musculus (house mouse), 72 nucleotides long. The record is from Rfam. NCBI's taxonomy places the organism in Eukaryota, Metazoa, Chordata, Mammalia, Rodentia, Muridae.
GGAGAGGUGGCUCAGUGGUUAGAGCACUGGCUGCCCUUACAGGGGAUCUGGGUUCGAUUCCCAGCAUCCACA